This 476-nucleotide ribosomal RNA is filed under the name uncultured bacterium. RNAcentral's name for it is "bacterial LSU rRNA". It matches the Rfam family "Bacterial large subunit ribosomal RNA", at positions 2177 to 2651 of the family's 2925-position model. The record is from RNAcentral.
CUGGUGGAGCCGUCCUUGAAAUACCACCCUGGUUUGUUUGAGGUUCUAACCAUGGCCUGUGAAUCCAGGUCUGGGACCGUGCAUGGUAGGCAGUUUGACUGGGGCGGUCUCCUCCCAAAGUGUAACGGAGGAGUACGAAGGUACGCUAGGUACGGUCGGACAUCGUGCUGUUAGUGCAAUGGCAAAAGCGUGCUUAACUGCGAGACCCACAAGUCGAGCAGAUACGAAAGUAGGUCAUAGUGAUCCGGUGGUUCUGUAUGGAAGGGCCAUCGCUCAACGGAUAAAAGGUACUCUCUGGAUAACAGGCUGAUACCGCCCAAGAGUUCAUAUCGACGGCGGUGUUUGGCACCUCGAUGUCGGCUCAUCACAUCCUGGGGCUGUAGUCGGUCCCAAGGGUAUGGCUGUUCGCCAUUUAAAGUGGUACGUGAGCUGGGUUUAAAACGUCGUGAGACAGUUUGGUCCCUAUCUGCCGUGGG